UACGAAGGGUGCAAGCGUUACUCGGAAUUACUGGGCGUAAAGCGUGCGCAGGCGGUUAUGCAAGACAGAUGUGAAAUCCCCGGGCUCAACCUGGGAACUGCAUUUGUGACUGCAUGGCUGGAGUGCGGCAGAGGGGGAUGGAAUUCCGCGUGUAGCAGUGAAAUGCGUAGAUAUGCGGAGGAACACCGAUGGCGAAGGCAAUCCCCUGGGCCUGCACUGACGCUCAUGCACGAAAGCGUGGGGAGCAAACAGG
This 253-nucleotide ribosomal RNA is filed under the name uncultured bacterium. RNAcentral's name for it is "partial 16S ribosomal RNA". It matches the Rfam family "Bacterial small subunit ribosomal RNA", at positions 524 to 776 of the family's 1533-position model. The record is from RNAcentral.